Molecule: long non-coding RNA, 731 nt
Filed under: Gossypium barbadense (sea-island cotton)
Lineage: Eukaryota; Viridiplantae; Streptophyta; Magnoliopsida; Malvales; Malvaceae
Description: long non-coding RNA (GBAR_LNC014108)
Source: RNAcentral
CUGGAUUCCUCAUUUCUCUAGCUUCCGAGGGCGAUUGUUGUUCCUCCAGUGGGGAUUCUGGUUCUUUCGGUUCGGCAUCUAGUUGUCAGACUUGGGACGAUGAUCCACCUUCAAAGAAUAGUGUAUGUGGAGGUGUUUGCAUCAAGAACGGCAACAGUGUUUGAAACCCAUACGUUGGUGGGGAUUGGUAAAAAGGAGAGCUCUCCGACGACCCCCUUUGCGAUCCCUCGUGCGUCGCUGGCCUAUACAUCAGCGGUCCGCUCGGCAUAACAGGAAAUGGAGCUGAACCGGGCAUUUGGCUCCAACCUGCCAUAGGACUCGGAAAAGGAUACAUAUAAGGGUUAGGGUACAUAUAAGGGCUUGGAAACGCACCUGGCAUCAUCUGAAAAGGCGGUUGCGUGGGUAUCAUUAGUUGAACUACUGCGUCGGUGCUCUCGUUGGGCCUGGUAAUCUUAUGGCCGCUGAUGAUGAGCUGGGUGAAUGUCUGGGCCUCUUUGAGGGGCUGCCUUCAUCUUGUCGUCUUGGAUUUAGAGGCCCGCGCCUUACCCUUUCGACAAGUAUUUGCCGCUGCCUCUCCUCUGACAUCAGUAAAUACGGCUUGCCAUGUAUCCUAAACCAUGGCAUGUAUUCUAGAACGCAAGAUAACUCCGGAACGGUGAUUAGUUCCCGAGUAGGUAGAUAUUCAUACCGAUCUUCCCACAUUUCCAUGUACUCAGACCAGUAUCUCGUCC